This is a long non-coding RNA of Homo sapiens (human), 195 nucleotides long. RefSeq lists it as uncharacterized. NCBI's taxonomy places the organism in Eukaryota, Metazoa, Chordata, Mammalia, Primates, Hominidae. The record is from RefSeq and is a predicted model, not a curated record. The transcript is spliced from 2 exons.
CGCUGCCCUACCAGCCCACUCCUGAAGUAACUCAUGGAAAUACUUCAGGAAGUACUCUCUGCGGGGACAUGGAAUCAUCUCAGAUCCCGCAGGAGGUGGGAAUUGAGGCAUCUGGGAUGACUUCUGAAUUCCUACAAGAAUUACGAGACACUUAGGUUUGGACAUGCUGGGACUGAGGUGUCUUGGGACAUCCAG